RNAcentral lists this ribosomal RNA (238 nucleotides) under uncultured bacterium. RNAcentral describes it as "partial 16S ribosomal RNA". It matches the Rfam family "Bacterial small subunit ribosomal RNA", at positions 96 to 334 of the family's 1533-position model. The record is from RNAcentral.
UGGCGGACGGGUGAGUAACGCGUGGGUAACCUGCCUCAUACAGGGGGAUAACAGUUAGAAAUGACUGCUAAUACCGCAUAAGACCACAGCACCGCAUGGUGCAGGGGUAAAACUCCGGUGGUAUGAGAUGGACCCGCGUCUGAUUAGGUAGUUGGUGGGGUAACGGCUUACCAAGCCGACGAUCAGUAGCCGACCUGAGAGGGUGACCCGGCCACAUUGGGACUGAGACACGGCCCAA